AAAGGAAGAGACAACUAGCAGAACCGGUAGUGAUCUUUUCCUGAAACGAUCCAAGACUUGGCCAAAAUAAAAACCUUCUUCCGAUGCCAUGCUAAAGGUAUUUCGAAUUAGCUGCGAUCUGGCUAGGUCAAAUCAAUAUUUCUUCUCCGUGGCAUGGGACACGAUUAUUCCGUAAAGCGGACCAGAGAUGCUUUUCCUGGGACACAAUGCUUUGUUCUCUCGAGUCUUUAGGACUUCAGGAGGUAGGCAGUAGGUGGACAUACCAUCACUUGUAGACUCCACCAAGUCAUCCACCCAUGAGCUAAAGGACCAUGAAAAUGCAAUUUUCUCCCGCCUACGUACCUCGUGUCUGUUUCCAGCUUCCGCUUCUUUUACCCCAUGGAGCGUGUUCGGACCGACAUUAUUGCUCCAGCGGAAGAAAAACAGCAUCUUCCACACUUGUUCAGGGGAAAGAAACCAUUCUAAAGACGCGGAUGAAGUCAUUCUUUCAUGACUGAUUCAACGAAGACUUCCUUCUUCCAUCUCUCUCUUCUGUCUCUAGAGUUUAUUUCUUAGAGAUAGUGAUUGCCUCCUACCUCCUAAUUCUAUUUUCCGGCAGGACAGCGCUUUCCUGGAAGUUUCUUAUAGACUGUCGUCGACAACCUGCUUGCCUAAUGCCUACAAGUAGGAAGUGUUCGCGGAUGUUGGACGGGGCAAGUUUCGUGGUUGGGAAUAGGAUGGCUUGGAAGGCUCUUCACAUUCUCUCCAUGCUCCUGCUACUUUCAAGCACUACUCUCGUCUCCCUUGCCCGUGAUACCGGCGUUGUAGCAAGCCCACCUUCGCCACUACGUCAGAAGGAAGGACCCGGCGCGAAUCUUCCCUGUGCAGCAAAUCACAUCACAGGUCAUCCAUGCCCUUCGUCCGGGGGCUCGAAAAACCAUGCGUUUAACGCGCAACCCCCCCCAGUUGUUCGCCAAAUGUAUACAAAGGGAUGCAAAAGUAUUUAUAGCUGCCGUAGAUGACGCUAGAAUUCAAUCCCAAAGAACAUGCAAGAACGGUCUUUUAUCGUGUGUAUUCUCGCGCGCCGGCAUAUAUAUAUCUGGCCAAAAUAAAUUUCCUCAAUCCUCCUCUCCGUUAAUACUAUGUUUCAAACAAUUCAAAUAUAAAGGUUUAGUAAUUUGAGUUUUGAACUAAAAAUAAAUUUGAAAUGCUUUGGCCUGA
Non-coding RNA from Phoenix dactylifera (date palm), 1200 nucleotides. NCBI's taxonomy places the organism in Eukaryota, Viridiplantae, Streptophyta, Magnoliopsida, Arecales, Arecaceae. The record is from RefSeq and is a predicted model, not a curated record.